UUAUCUUGCACAAUUCAAUCAUUUAACUAAAUACUUUUUGCUGUCUUUGAGCCUUGCCCGCCUCCAAAGACUUAAACUUCAUUUCUUUGAGUAGAACAAAAUAGAACAUAGCUGCAAUGAUCAUUAUCAAUAGUCCAAACUAAGUGAAGAUAAAUAUGCAGCAAAGAAAGACAAAGGAUUCAUGAGCCAUCCAAAAUAUAGAGUAAUCUGAUAGUUAACAUGUACAUUUACUAAAAAGCAUAGUUGACAGGUACUUGCCAUUUUGAUGAAUACAUAUAAUGCUCGAAAAAAGAAAUAAAAGUUGCAUGUCAGUUCUGUCACUACUCUCAAGGAAUCGAGGCUUUCAAAAUUGAAAGCAUAAGGAGUUAAAAGACUUCUCCUUAUAGUUUCAAGUACUGGUAUGUGUUGUUGAUGUUUGUGUGCCCAGUAUGCGACUUACAGUAUCGUUGUUGUUACAUGCUUUGAGAACAUAACCUUCGACAUUCCCAUAUAAAGUUUCAAUCUAAGAUAUAUGGCAGUUCUGCCACUGCUCUCAAGGAAGGUUCUUCAAAAGUUAAAACAUAAAGAGUUAAAAGCCUUUUCCUUUGAGUUAAUCAAAGACCUACUGAUUAUUAGAAGAAUAUGAUAAGCACUAAAAUUAUUUUCAAACAUCCCCUGAACUUAUGGAACAUGUAAUGACAAUACAAAAUACCAAUUAUAAUUAAUAACUCAAAUUAAAUAAGAUAGAUUGCUACUCAUAUCCUUUUUUGUUGACUAUGGUUCAAAAUGUUCUUAUGAGCUAACUUCCCUGUUGCAAUAUGACUGAAACUCACUCCUCAUAACUUAAAAAUGAGAUGAGCAUACCUUGUUGAGAUCUUGUUUUGGUACUGCACACUCAUGGAAGAGAUAAAUAAGAGUCUCCCCAACAACUCGACGACAAAGACGACAACCGCCUCCAAUAUUGUAAUUGUCACAAAUUAUGAGUCCGUAGGCACUUCAUCUUCAGCUGCCCUGUAAAACACUUACUCCAGCUCCUCCAACUGCCGAGUAUUAGCCUCAUCAUAAAUUGAUAUCAUUGCACCCUGACGAUUGCCGAGAAAGUAUUCCUCUUCAAAAGGAUCGUCGCGAAAUUCUCAAACCAAAGAAACAUGAACGAAACCGCAUCAGUGACCUGAAGAUAUUGGUAGCUAUAAAGAUGGAUAUUUCAUAUAUGACUCACGGAUUUGAGGAGAAGCAAGUUGCCUCAAAUUAAAUUGAAUUUCUCAAGUUGACUGACUAAAAUAAUUAAUUUGCAAGAAGUUUACUAUAGAAAUUAAUAAUGCUUAGAUUACUUCUUCCAUAAUUUCGCCCAAAAUCUUAAACAGAACAACGGAUUGAGUUAUUAGCAUGUUAAGUGCGGAUAUCAAAUGCAAGUUUGCAAGCAUUACCGAACAACUUCGAAAGGUACAAUUGGCAUGGGAAGGAAGAAUGGAAGUUAUUAGAGACCAUGAAAUUAAAUUAAACUGGGGGAGAAAUGAAAAUGAGAAUGGAUAUAAAGAGGGUUGAACCAAUUCAAGACAUAAUUUGAAGGAGAAAUUAUCAGUUAAGCGUAUUUGAUGUCAAAUUCUUAAAUAGGGAGGUAGUUAGUAAAUGUAGAUAUUCACCUUGCGAUUGUAGACUGGGACUGAAUUGCACACAUAUAGAUGUUAGAUAUGCCAGGAGUACUUGACACCUGGUCUCUAAAAUACAAAGUAUUCAUAAGUGAGAGAACUAUUCUGUUAAAAGUAAGAACAGUUUUAGUUUAAGAAUGGAAUAACAGAUUCACUCAUAGCUAUUGGAGCAUAGGUAAAUAAUAUCUAAUUAUAUAUGAAUAUCACUAGUAGCGUAUCAAGGAGCUCAUACCAGUAACUUAAGAAUCAUCACCCAUCCCACUAUCCCCCCACAAAAUUUGAAACUAGUUAAAAUUGAAAUGAAGAUAACAAUACGUACUUUGUGCUUUUGUCUGUCACUCAUCAUCUGGUUCAUCGCUAGAACUUCCUGCCAAGAAGAAGUCAUCCUCACUUAGAUCCAAAAGUUCAUCAUCUUUACUACAUAUUUAUAUGAUUGAAAGGCAUUAAAUAAGCAACAACAAAGGGCAUUGAGAAGGUAAAAUUGAUGCAUCAAUCAGUCCAUAUCUCUAUCAAAACAAUGAUCAAGGCCAAUUCAUAAGCUGGCACUCCUGCUUCAGUAGGAACCCCAUUUUAAGUAUAACAAAUGGAAGGAAAUCUCGUACAUGAGAAGCGAAAAAUCUUGGACAUGAUAAACCCAAUGCUAGGUUGGCCGAUAAGAGAUUGCAAAAUUUAAAUGUAGACUAAAAUGCAUACCUAGCUCAAACAUUGAAACUCGGAUGUACUGUGGAGAUUAGGUGACAAAGUCACGCAGCUGAAUUUACAUGCACUUCAUCUCGCACUAAAGCCUUCAAUAGAGAAAGAAUCUCAAAGGAAUCUUGUCCAUACAAUAGAGAAAGAAUCUCAAAUGCUUCUUUUCCAGACAAUAAUAAGAAGGAUGUUUCACAAGGCAUAGAAAUUUACAUAUCAGGGACACUACAAAAGCAAGUACCUGUCCACACAUUGUUCUUUGUGAAGUCAAUUCCGAUAAUGGGAUUUAAAAAUUCAAACUCUGCACGUGCAAGAGCUUAUGUCACCUGCAGAAUAAGUAAUGGGAAACACAAACAUAAUUCAUCAAUGGAGAUGAAGUCAUGGAACCAAGUAUAAGUGAAAUAUUCCAUGGAACUGACUAUAUGUUGGAACCAAGUGCCAUUGAAUUUGGCAUAAAUAACAUGGAGAAUAGAGAAUCACAGACUGACAUACUUCAAAAUAGAAUGCCCUAGAAAAAUUCAAGCUUAUCUAUUCUUCCAAGACAUAAAUCUAAAGUUUUUGAGACAAAAGGAAACUACCAACAGUUGAGAGACAGUGAAACAGUAAUAGAUUAUACCACAAUGAUGAUUGCUGAAAAAAUUUCGCGUUGCUAUAGAUUCCUUGACGACUUUUGAUUUCCUCCCUGGCGCCAAAAAAUUGUCGAUGACAGCUUAACAGUCAUGAAAUCAGAGAGGAAUAUAACCACCUUUCUUCCUGCUUAGUAUGCUGGAUUUAUGAUUGUCUAUUUCCCUCCUUUGGAUUGCUAACUGAGGAACCAAACAGAGCAAGGGAAUUUCACCUCCAUCGAGCGAUCUUCCUUCUCCUUUUAGUUGUUAUAAUUAACACUGCAGCUUAAAAAAUCAAACAGCUUACAGAAAAGAAGAAGGCAAAAAAGUUUGAUUUCAUAGAGAACUCAAUUUUUUUAGAGAAGAAAGAGAAAGGAAUGAGAGCAAAAUGAAAAUCUGUAACUGUGGUGGAGAAAGUCAGAAAACGCAAGAAGAGAGAGAUUGUGGG
Molecule: long non-coding RNA, 3368 nt
Filed under: Linum usitatissimum (flax)
Lineage: Eukaryota; Viridiplantae; Streptophyta; Magnoliopsida; Malpighiales; Linaceae
Description: long non-coding RNA (LUSI_LNC002915)
Source: RNAcentral